GACGAACGCUGGCGGCGUGCUUAACACAUGCAAGUCGAACGGAAAGGCCCUGCUUUUGUGGGGUGCUCGAGUGGCGAACGGGUGAGUAACACGUGAGUAACCUGCCCUUGACUUUGGGAUAACUUCAGGAAACUGGGGCUAAUACCGGAUAGGAGCUCCUGCUGCAUGGUGGGGGUUGGAAAGUUUCGGCGGUUGGGGAUGGACUCGCGGCUUAUCAGCUUGUUGGUGGGGUAGUGGCUUACCAAGGCUUUGACGGGUAGCCGGCCUGAGGGGGUGACCGGCCCGUGUGGGCCUGAGUUAGGGCCGAAGCUCCUCCGGGGGGAAGCGGGGGGGAUGAUUGCAAAGGGGCGGGAGGCCUGUCGCCGAAGCGCCGCGUGGGGAAGGCGGGCCUUCGGUUUGAAAACCCUUUGCGCCUGUGACGAAGGGUGAGUGGCGGUAAGGGGUAAAGAGCCCCGGGCUAACUACGUC
RNAcentral lists this ribosomal RNA (468 nucleotides) under uncultured bacterium. RNAcentral's name for it is "partial 16S ribosomal RNA". It matches the Rfam family "Bacterial small subunit ribosomal RNA", at positions 28 to 507 of the family's 1533-position model. The record is from RNAcentral.